GACGAACGCUGGCGGCGUGCUUAACACAUGCAAGUCGAACGGAAAGGCCCUGCUUGCAGGGUGCUCGAGUGGCGAACGGGUGAGUAACACGUGGGUGAUCUGCCCCUUAUUUUGGGAUAAGCCUGGGAAACUGGGUCUAAUACUGGAUAGGACCAUGCUGUAGGUGGUGUGGUGGAAAGAUUAGUUUCGGUAAGGGAUGAGCUCGCGGCCUAUCAGCUUGUUGGUGGGGUAAUGGCCUACCAAGGCGUCGACGGGUAGCCGGCCUGAGAGGGUGGACGGCCACAUUGGGACUGAGAUACGGCCCAGACUCCUACGGGAGGCAGCAGUGGGGAAUAUUGCACAAUGGGCGCAAGCCUGAUGCGGCGACGCCGCGUGGGGGAUGACGGCCUCCGGGUUGUAAACUCCUUUCAGCCAUGACGAAGCCCUUGUGGUGACGGUAGUGGUAGAAGAAGCACCGGCUAACUACGUG
Molecule: ribosomal RNA, 469 nt
Filed under: uncultured bacterium
Lineage: Bacteria
Description: partial 16S ribosomal RNA
Rfam family: Bacterial small subunit ribosomal RNA
Source: RNAcentral